RNAcentral lists this ribosomal RNA (305 nucleotides) under uncultured bacterium. Its description in RNAcentral is "bacterial SSU rRNA". It matches the Rfam family "Bacterial small subunit ribosomal RNA", at positions 337 to 653 of the family's 1533-position model. The record is from RNAcentral.
GCCUACGGGACGCAGCAGUCGAGAAUCAUUCACAAUGGGGGAAACCCUGAUGGUGCGACACCGCGUGGGGGAAUGAAGGUCUUCGGAUUGUAAACCCCUGUCAUGUGGGAGCAAAUUAAAAAGAUAGUACCACAAGAGGAAGAGACGGCUAACUCUGUGCCAGCAGCCGCGGUAAUACAGAGGUCUCAAGCGUUGUUCGGAAUCACUGGGCGUAAAGCGUGCGUAGGCUGUUUCGUAAGUCGUGUGUGAAAGGCGCGGGCUCAACCCGCGGACGGCACAUGAUACUGCGAGACUAGAGUAAUGGG